AUACGGAGGGUGCAAGCGUUACUCGGAAUCACUGGGCGUAAAGCGCGCGCAGGCGGCUAUUUAAGUUGGAUGUGAAAGCCUACGGCUCAACCGUAGAACUGCAUCCAAAACUAUUUAGCUAGAGUGUGGGAGAGGAAGAUGGAAUUAGUUGUGUAGGGGUAAAAUCCGUAGAGAUAACUAGGAAUACCAAAAGCGAAGGCAAUCUUCUGGAACACUACUGACGCUAAGGCGUGAAAGCGUGGGGAGCAAACAGGAUUAGAAACCCUUGUAGUCC
This 274-nucleotide ribosomal RNA is filed under the name uncultured bacterium. Its description in RNAcentral is "partial 16S ribosomal RNA". It matches the Rfam family "Bacterial small subunit ribosomal RNA", at positions 523 to 796 of the family's 1533-position model. The record is from RNAcentral.